AGAAUCAACGCUGGCGGCGUGCCUAACACAUGCAAGUCGCACGAGAAAGGGGAGCAAUCCCUGAGUACAGUGGCGCACGGGUGAGUAACACGUGAAUGAUCUACCUCCGAGUGGGGAAUAACUGAGAGAAAUCUUAGCUAAUACCGCAUAAUACCCACGGGUCAAAGCAGCAAUGCGCUUGGAGAGGAGUUCGCGGCAGAUUAGUUAGUUGGCGGGGUAAUGGCCCACCAAGACGAUGAUCUGUAUCCGGCCUGAGAGGGCGCACGGACACACUGGAACUGAAACACGGUCCAGACUCCUACGGGAGGCAGCAGUGGGGAAUUUUGCGCAAUGGGGGAAACCCUGACGCAGCAACGCCGCGUGGAGGAUGAAGCCCCUUGGGGUGUAAACUCCUUUCGAUCGGGAAGAUAAUGACGGUACCGAUAUAAGAAGCCCCGGCUAACUUCGCGCCAGCAGCCGC
Molecule: ribosomal RNA, 460 nt
Filed under: uncultured bacterium
Lineage: Bacteria
Description: SSU rRNA
Rfam family: Bacterial small subunit ribosomal RNA
Source: RNAcentral